Molecule: ribosomal RNA, 254 nt
Filed under: uncultured bacterium
Lineage: Bacteria
Description: partial 16S ribosomal RNA
Rfam family: Bacterial small subunit ribosomal RNA
Source: RNAcentral
UACGUAGGCAGCAAGCGUUGUUCGGAGUUACUGGGCGUAAAGGGUGCGUAGGCGGCUUUUUAAGUCUGGUGUGAAAUCUCCCGGACUCAACUGGGAGGGUGCGCCGGAUACUGAGGGGCUAGAGUGUGGGAGAGGAAAGUGGAAUUCCUGGUGUAGCGGUGAAAUGCGUAGAUAUCAGGAGGAACACCGGUGGUGUAAACGGCUUUCUGGACCAUAACUGACGCUGAGGCACGAAAGCGUGGGUAGCAAACAGG